UUGGGGAAUUUUGGACAAUGGGCGCAAGCCUGAUCCAGCAAUGCCGCGUGCAGGAAGAAGGCCUUCGGGUUGUAAACUGCUUUUGUACGGAACGAAACGGUCCUGGUUAAUACCUGGGGCUAAUGACGGUACCGUAAGAAUAAGCACCGGCUAACUACGUGCCAGCAGCCGCGGUAAUACGUAGGGUGCGAGCGUUAAUCGGAAUUACUGGGCGUAAAGCGUGCGCAGGCGGUGCUGUAAGACAGGCGUGAAAUCCCCGGGCUCAACCUGGGAAUUGCGCUUGUGACUGCAGUGCUGGAGUACGGAAGAGGGGGAUGGAAUUCCGCGUGUAGCAGUGAAAUGCGUAGAUAUGCGGAGGAACACCGAUGGCGAAGGCAGUCCCCUGGGCCUGUACUGACGCUCAUGCACGAAAGCGUGGGGAGCAAACAGGAUUAGAAACCCCAGUAGUCC
Molecule: ribosomal RNA, 450 nt
Filed under: uncultured bacterium
Lineage: Bacteria
Description: partial 16S ribosomal RNA
Rfam family: Bacterial small subunit ribosomal RNA
Source: RNAcentral